UACAGAGGGUGCGAGCGUUAAUCGGAAUUACUGGGCGUAAAGGGCGCGUAGGCGGUGUAUUAAGUUAGAUGUGAAAUCCCUGGGCUUAACCUAGGAACUGCAUCUAAGACUGAUACGCUAGAGUGCGGUAGAGGAUAGUGGAAUUUCCGGUGUAGCGGUGAAAUGCGUAGAUAUCAGGAAGAACACCCGUGGCUAAGGCGGCUCUCUAGUACGGUACUGACGCUGAGACGCGAAAGCGUGGGGAGCGAACAGG
Molecule: ribosomal RNA, 253 nt
Filed under: uncultured bacterium
Lineage: Bacteria
Description: partial 16S ribosomal RNA
Rfam family: Bacterial small subunit ribosomal RNA
Source: RNAcentral